GUCACUUUCUCUCGUUCUCUCUCAAAAUAAAUAAGCUUAAAAAAAACAAAAACAAAAAACCCUACUGGCAUCAAACGAGACUUUCCCGAGAGGAAGGACCGAAGAGAGUUACAGAGGGUAGGAAAUCUUCAACAUAUGAAUCAUUAUUAUUCAAGAUGGCUUCCCGAGGUCUCCUAAACUCCUCUCACGGACCACCACCAAUCAGAUGUGGCUACCGAGAUCUGAAACGUGGAGAAACAGAGACUCAACCAGGACUUCUGGCUCCCAGAGGCCCUCUUCAGCAUCUUGGAAGCCUGAAAAAGAAGUACCACACCUGGGAGAUGGAAAUACUGCGUUUUAUUGUCGGCCUUGUUUUGUUGGCGCGGUACAUUGUUCAGAAAACGGCAUUAAUAAUUCCCUGCCGGUGUCCCAGCCACUGUCUAUAACUCUGACUCCAGGCUCAGUUACGUGACCUGCUUUAGCUACUGCAGUGUUUCCAACUGUGCACACAAAGACGCUCGUGAAGAAGCGCUUGUGUAGUGGGGCUCCUUGCUUAAGCUCUUGGGAACCUGUGAUCACUACCGUGGAAACGAGCCCGGAAGAGCUUGCUGGAUGAUGGACUCACGACCAACAACCGGCCAGCUGCCACAGCUGUGAGUGAAGCCAGUGACCCCCAGGUGCCACAGAUGAGAGGUUCACGCAGGAGCCCAGCUGAAACCAGCGGACGAACUACCCAGCUGAGCCUUGCCCAAUUUGCUGACCCACAGACCGUAUGGUGAAACACAUGGCUGUUGUGUGUGAAGCCACUAGGGUUUGGGGUGGUUUGCCACCCACGCAUCAGCAGAUAACUGACGUGGAUGGUGAUACUCCUGACGAGGAGCCUGGAUGGUCUGAACUCUCCCUGGUGGCCCGUAGAAGGCAGCAGCCUCUGGCAUCAGGACCUGUUGGGCCUUCGUCUAGAAAAGAUUCUGCAACAGAUCCUGGCAGGCCAGGGGCUAUGACAAGGAGCCAGUCUGCCAGGUCGCACAUUUAUCCAGUGCCUUUUAUGUACAAAUACCGUACGCAUCCUGGGAAUGUUCCACGACAUCGUAGACCAUGGGCCCUGUCCUGGAGGGUUUGCAAGCCUUACCAUCAAGGCUUUGCAAGCGGAUGUUCUAGGGAACAAGAAGAGAAAAUAGAGGCUGGAAGGCAGCCUAAGGCUUCCGGUUUUCUGACCAUGCUGGGACCACCUAACCCACUCUCUUUUUAAUCCAAAGGGAUAGAAAGAAGGUUCGUCCCUGAGCUGAAUGUCUAGGGUUAGCUCGGUGCCAGGCACUUGUUCCUAACAGCCUUGAUCAAUGCCUUACGCUACGAAUCAAGGCACCGUCUGCCAAUAUAUUGCCCUCUGGCAAACCAUCUGGGUCUCAUCCGACCUGUCGAUGAAACAAACUGUAGGCAGAGCAGGCAUAACGUGGUCCAUCUGCCUUCCGCUGCUUCCUGGUCUGUGCAUUCAGGUAGGAAAGCAGCCCUUCCUUUCCAGUGACCAUGUAUAGCUGAGGUUCACGGUACCCCUGCUGCUUUGGAGACUCAGCUGGUAUUUCAGGCGGCAGGAUAAUCAGUGAGCAGUUGGGAGCCCAGGGAUGGUCACAGGAGAGACCAGGUACCUUUAAGACAACUCUCCGUGUGACUCUGUUUCCCCUAUGUGCUUUCCUUCCCUGCAGAAAGUCAGCCAGUUAUUGAGGUAUUGAGGUAUUGGGGAGGAAAAUCAAAGAGUGGCAAGCCUCUACCGUCCCCAGCGCGUGGAGAAACUUCCGACCCGGUUGAAAUGGCAUCCACAGUUGCCUGGCUUUUCCUUAGAGGUUUUAUGCCCCAAGUGCCAGCUCGAACCUGCUUAGCUUGUGAGAUGUGAUGAAAUCACCAACCAAGGCAAUGUAGCUGCAAGCGAUUCUUUUUUAUCUCUUUUCAUUUAUGUAGCCUGACAUUGAGUAAUAAUAAUAAUUAAAUGCAGUUUAAGCUGUUAGGCACCUAUUCCAGAAGGCCUCUAGAUACCUCAUCAACAGCAGCCCAGGCUGACAAAAACAAAGCUAAUUAUAUUGUGGUUAACUUUUUUCAAAGAAAAAAAUAAGACCGCUCACCAACGAUCCUCAUAUCUGAUAAAAAGCGGUACAUUAAAUGUUCCGCCCCACAGUCCAUUUGCACGGGACCAAUUUAAAACCAGGUGCCCUUGUCUUAAAUUUGCCACCCUGGCACUAAGUGAUGAAAAGAUGGCUUUAGCCUCUAUUUCCACACCCACCCCUAGCGCUCUGAAAAGUCUCCAGGGUCUCAAUUUUUCCAUAUUUAUUCAUAGCCCCAGGGCCAGUUGUAUUUAUUUAUUUAUAUGUACGUGGAGUGUUAGAAGAGCAUGCUUUGGAUGCUUUUGAGUGAUGCUUCUCACUUUCAAAAGUUUGAGAGGGAUUUAGAUGUGGCAAUCCAGAAUAGCUUCAUCUGAGAAACGGAGCCAGCAGAUUCUGAUGCAAACAAAACAAAAAAAUCUCUGGAGAGACCUGGAAAGAAAGGACGACUGGAACUUAUUGUUAGAAACCUAGCCUCUUGUCACAGCAUCUCUACUGACUUGCAAGAUGACUUUGGCCAAGUCCCAACAGCCCCAGACACAUGGGAAGGCCCUAAAGCUUUUGAUCCAACUUCUCCAGACAGUAUUUCCAAUUCAAAUUCUGACCGCCCAAGCAAAAAUGUCAGUGUUCUCAUUAAAGGAAACUUAGCAGCAA
This is a long non-coding RNA of Felis catus (domestic cat), 2723 nucleotides long. RefSeq lists it as uncharacterized. The transcript has 2 exons. The record is from RefSeq and is a predicted model, not a curated record. NCBI's taxonomy places the organism in Eukaryota, Metazoa, Chordata, Mammalia, Carnivora, Felidae.